Molecule: ribosomal RNA, 248 nt
Filed under: uncultured bacterium
Lineage: Bacteria
Description: partial small subunit ribosomal RNA
Rfam family: Bacterial small subunit ribosomal RNA
Source: RNAcentral
AGAACGAACGCUGAUGGCGUGCCUCAUACAUGCAAGUCGAGCGCACCGCAAGGUGAGCGGCGAACGGGUGAGUAACGCGUGAACAAUCUGCCUCAAAGUGGGGGAUAACCAUUCCAACGGAUGGCUAAUACCGCAUAGGGUUUGGAAGCGGCAUCGCUUCCCUACGAAAGCAUUUAUGCGCUUUGAGAUGAGUUCGCGUCCCAUUAGCUAGUUGGCGGGGUAACGGCCCACCAAGGCAACGAUGGGUA